RNAcentral lists this ribosomal RNA (157 nucleotides) under uncultured Photobacterium sp. RNAcentral's name for it is "partial 16S ribosomal RNA". It matches the Rfam family "Bacterial small subunit ribosomal RNA", at positions 375 to 524 of the family's 1533-position model. The record is from RNAcentral. Lineage: Bacteria; Pseudomonadati; Pseudomonadota; Gammaproteobacteria; Vibrionales; Vibrionaceae.
GGGGGAANNUGAUGCAGCCAUGCCGCGUGUAUGAAGAAGGCCUUCGGGUUGUAAAGUACUUUCAGUUGUGAGGAAGGCAGUUAAGUUAAUAGCUUGGCUGUUUGACGUUAGCAACAGAAGAAGCACCGGCUAACUCCGUGCCAGCAGCCGCGGUAAU